CAUCAUAAUCCGUCUCAUGAGCAGGAAUAAGCAUGGGAAUGGUGCAUGGUCAAGCCCUCUACAUCAGAUCAGAGAUCCUGUAACCUCUCGUUGUCAUCACAGUGUGAACCAACUUUCCCCACGCCCUUUCAAGGCGUACUUGCGAGCGGGCGUUCUUAAUUUGCGUUAAAGAUUGUUAAUUUACAACUGGAGGUGUCCGUCCAGUCCAGAUUAAUGUUGCGGAAUUCAAAGGUCGGAUCUUGGAACAGAAAAUGCUGAAUAGAAACCAUAAAUUAUGUUAAAGAAGAUGUUGUUUAACAUAACAUCAGCAUCCAGGCUGCUAUUGAUCUUUCCUGUGGAUCCAUCUGGCUAUUCCUCCCCACCAUAUUUGCCCCUACUCCACCACAAUGCAACAGUUGAAGCUUCCGGGAUCCUUUUCAAGCUUUCUCAGAAGACCAGUUUCACAUUGAUUAAAUUAAAGGCAACAUGUACCGCUUUAAGAGUUCCCACCAAGGCUUCAAAAAGAUUGGCACAUUUUUCAUCAGCAAAGAGCACUCCAAACUUCACACUUAGUGUCCCAUCAGCAUCUAAACAAAAGAAAGGGUAUUACAAUACCAUGAAAUGGAACAAUAAUUUUAUGCCAUUGAGCAUUUGUGGAUGAGUGCAGAUUCCGUGUUCUUAUGAAAGUUUACAUGGUUACAUAUAAAACGUGUACAUAUUUGUUUAUCUGUUUGUUUUGUUGUAUUGUGUGUGCGCAUGUGAAAACCAUCUUGUUGAAGUGCAGUCUAUAAAUAUUGUAAACAAAUACUGUAUGUGUUUCCAUAUCCAAGAACUGUACUAUCAAGACCUGAGCUCUUAUAGGCCCCCAGUGAAGCAUGAUCCUAACCUGGAGUUAUGGCCACUGAUAGGAUCGCUGACAUACUCUUGUACCAGUGGAACUCAAAGGUAUAACAGUGUAGUAUAUUUGCACUACUGUUUCAUUGGUGGUGGCCUACUGCUGGCAAAAUCCUCAUGCCAGCAAGACAGUGGGCCAGUUUGGGUGAUCAUCUGCCAGCACACGUAAUAACUUUGGUGCCCUGCCAAGUGUGUGCCCACCCUGAUGUCAUCAACAGACAUCCUGAUGUGCUCUUGGUCACGUGAGGAGGAUGCAUCUGAAUUCCCCCUCUAAACAUGCUCCAAAACCCUGCUUGAGCAAUUGAUAAUCUCAGCUCCCCUCACAAGGCAAACCUCCAAACACAAUCCUCAAAAAGCACUACCAAACAAGUGCAUACCCCAUGGGACAGUGGGAAGAUGAACAAGAGUGUGUGACAUGGGAAAAGACCUGCGUGGAGACACCCACUCUCAGGCACUCCUUCGACAAUCACCCAGUCAUAGGUAGUGUCUGCUGUAGCUGCUUCCCAUUUUGUCUCACCACCCCCAUGUCUUUUUUGCCUCCACAAACAACUAGGCAAUUCUCCCCACCACUCACAGAGGCAAGCAUGUUUUUCACAAGGGAGGUUUAUAGUGGCAUCCAACAGUGAGCUGCAGGAAGCCAGCCGCUUAUUCUCACUGGAUUCCUAUGCCUUUCUAAACUACAGAAAUAUAACAGAUGCACCUGUAUCUACCAGAAGAUAGUAUGAUGGGAAAGUGCACCUUUCACAGGCAGAGGCCCUGGAAGAGCAAGUUGGUUGGUUACGCCAUAUUGUGUAUGGAUGGCACAAUUAAUUUCUGCCCACUUUAUAGUAUUCUAUUAAAGAAUGACUGAUUUUGUCUCUGUUCCUUCCCCACACUUGUUUCCCUCCUCAGGUAUCUCACACUUUAUUGGUCCUUAUUUCCUUGUUAGUGAUGCACCAGCAAGGCCAAUGGGGCAGUUCCAAACAGAUCCAAAUCCACCCAAUGCCCCCCAUAUGGCUACAGGAGAUAUGUUGAUAAAUCAAACUGUGGUGCUGCUGUGAAGUAGAGGGAACAGACUGAUUAUAAGAUGCUUGAGUACUUUACCAGUAACUACUGACAAGCAAUCAAAGGAGGUUGAAGCUGAUAUGGUUGGGUGAGAUACAGGAAAACUGCACAAGAUCCAAUUCAGCUAGUUCAUUAAUUCAUUCAUUUGAUUUUAAUACCGCCCUUCAAAAAUGGCUCAGGGUGAUUUACAGAGAUAAAUAAUAAAUAAAUAAGAUGGAUCCCUGUCCCCAAAGGGCUCUCAUUCUAAAAAGAAACAUAAGAUAAGACACCAGCAACAGUCACUGGAGGUACUGUGCUGGGGGUGGAUAGAGAGAAUCACUACAUUAAAAGGUGUCUCUUUGCCCAGUUAGCAGGGGUUAGUUAGCUAGUUGUAUGGAAGGGCCAUAAGUAUGGCAGAGAAGUGUGACAAAAAGAUCAUUGGAUGACAAUCCAGUGAUUGUCUAUCACACUUUAUGAGUCAUGCUCCAAUCAUUUCACCUGGAAGUCUAUAAACAGGAAUCAAACCAGGGACCUCUUGUACGCAACAUCUGUGCUGUCCCAAUAAACUACAGCUCCAUACAGGAUGCUUUUGGUACUGGGCUAUAGGGCUCAGACUGGGGCUGGGAGAGGUAUUUCAUGUGCUAUACUCUUGGGAGAUUGCAAAGGUCCUGUAUGUGCCUUUAUGGCAGUGUGAUUAGGAUCUUGCUUUCUAGAGUGGGAGGCUGGGUUCUAGUCCUUCCAAUUUGCAUCAGUACUUAUAAUUGCAGGGAAGGAGUCCCAGAAAGCAACUAUUGCCACAUUUACAUCACUGGAUAAGUCUUGGAGGACUCACACCUUCCAUUUUCUAAUAUAUUGGUCUUACACACUGAAAUACCAACCAAGGCACAAUGCUGCUCGCUGUUAAAGUGUCUAUUGUUUCCUACACAUGUGGCCACCUGCUCCCUCCCAUGCAAAAAAAAAAAAAAAAAAGACACUGUUCUGAUCCAAUUUGGAAAGGUAACCUUUGCAUUAGUUGUUACAUAAAAGUCACAACUACUUUUAAGUUUUCAAAAAGGCAGAAGCGUCAAUCACAAAUCUCUCAUGUCACAUCUGUUUUGGUCCCAAAUAUAUACAUCAUUGCAUAGAAUCACAAUCAUGGAUUAUUAUGUCAGCAUUAAGUCAGUGGAAGCACACAAUUCAGGGUUGGCACAGCUGCAUCAGCAACCAUAUUACUUUUUUUGGAACAACACUACUUGUUAGGUCUGCCAGUCAAGCAGCAAGUGAUUUGAUAGGUGCCUGCCAAUGAGCCCCUUGCAGUGUCACAGAGGAUUAUAGGAUGCAACUCUCAGAAUAUGUGGUGCAGCUGCUUUCAGUGGCAAAAUGUCAGCCCUGUGGAAACUGCCAAUAUCUACUUCCCAUAAUGUUUUGAGUUGUUGCCAAAUGGUUUCCUGUCUGCAGGAAACCUCAUGGAUGUAGAUCCAGUUUUACAUGGUUUGAGAGCCAGACUCCUAUAUGUGUAUCAUUUUUCCCUUUAAUCACUGCAGUUGUCAUAAUUAUGUAAACAGGUACUAAUGUCUUUUCUUUCUGAUGGCUGAUGACCAAAAUAAAGUUUGA
Long non-coding RNA from Hemicordylus capensis (graceful crag lizard), 3489 nucleotides. RefSeq lists it as uncharacterized. Lineage: Eukaryota; Metazoa; Chordata; Lepidosauria; Squamata; Cordylidae. The record is from RefSeq and is a predicted model, not a curated record. The transcript is spliced from 4 exons.